AAAGCUGAGGGCAUGCAAUACACAUGCCCGUUGAACGGUAACAGGUCUUAAUGACGCUGCCGAGUGGUGAACGGGUGAGUAAUACAUUGGCAUGUGCCCAGUCGUGGGGGAUAACUACUGGAGAGAGUAGCUAAUGCGGCAUACGAUCGCAGGAUGAAAGCAUGGGACGUUCGGGCCUCGCGCGAUUGGAUCGGCCAAAGGCACAUUAGGUAGUUGGUGGGAUAAUGGCCCACCAAGCCGACAAUAUAGUAGCUGGUCUGAGAGGGUGACCAGCCACACUGGGACUGAGACACGGCCCAGACUCCUACGGGAGGCAGCAGUAGGGAAUUUUGCACAAUGGGCGAAAGCCUGAUCCAGCAAUGCCGCGUGCAGGAUGAAGGCCUUCGGGUUGUAAAGUGCUGUUGUAAGGAACGAACAAGCUCCUUAUAAUACAGGGGGCCCAUGACGGUACCGAGAGAAUAAGCACCGGCUAACU
RNAcentral lists this ribosomal RNA (475 nucleotides) under Delftia sp. MF3. RNAcentral describes it as "bacterial SSU rRNA". It matches the Rfam family "Bacterial small subunit ribosomal RNA", at positions 32 to 502 of the family's 1533-position model. The record is from RNAcentral. Lineage: Bacteria; Pseudomonadati; Pseudomonadota; Betaproteobacteria; Burkholderiales; Comamonadaceae.